Molecule: long non-coding RNA, 1262 nt
Organism: Tribolium castaneum (red flour beetle)
Lineage: Eukaryota; Metazoa; Arthropoda; Insecta; Coleoptera; Tenebrionidae
Exons: 2
Source: RefSeq, a predicted model, not a curated record
UCCGGGACAUUUCUAUUUGGACAUAAAAAAUUUGAAUUUUCUGACAUUUAUACGUAUAUUCAGCGUCUAUGUGAACAAAAAAUGUUCUCUCUCUCAUUCUAUGGUCCUUGAGCUUUAAUAACAGGGACAUUUUUGAAAUUGGUAGGAUUAGAAAAUGACAGUAAACAGCUGACUGAUGUAAACAAUAACAAAGGAAAUGUUAUAAUUUUAAUCUAUAUAACCCGUGGCUGCUUUAAAAGUGUGUACUAACGGGAUAAUAAAAUAUUUACGCAAGUAUUUUUGAAGGUAGAAACAUUACUUGUCAUAUAACAAUUAUACAGUCCGGGACAUUUCUAUUUGGACAUAAAAAAUUUGAAUUUUCUGACAUUUAUACGUGUAUUCAGCGUCUGUGUGAACAAAAAAUGUUCUCUCUCUCAUUCUAUGGUCCUUGAGCUUUAAUAACAGGGACAUUUUUUAAAUUGGUAGCAUUAGAAAAUGACAGUAAACAGCUGACUGAUGUAAACAAUAACACAAUAACAAAGGAAAUGUUAUAAUUUUAAUCUAUAUAACCAGUGGCUGCUUUAAAAGUGUGUACUAACGGGAUAAUAACAUAUUUACGCAAGUAUUUUUGAAGGUAGAAACAUUACUUGUCAUAUAACAACUACUCAGAUUAUAUGAUGAGACGGGAAUGGCACAAUACAGAAUUGCAGUCAGUGAUUGUGAUGGAGAAAGCUGCUGUGAAGUACUGACAGUACUGACUAUCGCUGGUUGUACGAUUUGUGCAAUUUGUGAUAUAUUUUGUGUGAAAAACUGGAAAAGAAAGUGCAUCACUGCAUAACCUCACUUAUCGCAGUUUUGCACAUUUUGAUGAUGGGAAUUGCGGUUCAAGUAAUUAUGAGUUAUAGAUGGAGAGCCCUGUUUACUUCAAACUGAAGCCUUUUGGGUCCACUUUGUUCCUGGCAGCCACUCUUGUUUCAAGCAGAGUGGGUGUAAAGUUAAAAAUAAUCCCGUAAAAUUGUUAAUAUAACUCCUUUGCACUGGCAUGGGGUAUUUGAAAACUUACGUUUAACAAAUACGUCACAAAGUCUCAGCCAUCGUCGAAAAACAUAAUAAGGGCUUUAUAACAAGAAGCGCUUUCUGAUUUUACUGUGGACGUGUGGAAGAAUAGUGUGAAAUAUUGCGAAAAACCAACUUUUACUCUUGUUUACAUUUUUGUACGUCUCUAUCUGAGAGUAGUCUCUUGUAUAAAAAAUAUAGCCUACUAAUAAAGGAAAUUAAAGUGU